Homo sapiens (human) is the source of this 2341-nucleotide long non-coding RNA. Ensembl annotates it as ADAM metallopeptidase domain 3A (pseudogene). Its record names the gene ADAM3A. The record is from Ensembl. NCBI's taxonomy places the organism in Eukaryota, Metazoa, Chordata, Mammalia, Primates, Hominidae.
GCCGCCGGCUACGCAAUGCUGUCUCUCUUGCUGAUCCUCUCAGGCCUGGGCCGGCUGACCUCCGCGGGCCCACAUUCUGAAACACCAGUUCUGCAAAUUACAGUACCACAGAAGAUCCAGACAAACACCAAUGAUGGUGAUGUUUCAGAAACGCAUGCCACUUAUUCCAUCAAAAUUGAGGGGAAACCAUACACUUCCUGCUUGAAAAACAGUCAUUUUUACACCCACAUUUCCUGGUGUAUUUAUACAACAAAUCAGGAACAUUGUAUGCAGAUUCUUCAUUUUCAAAGGGUCAUUGCUUUUACCAAGGAUAUGCUGCAGACAUUCCAAAAUCAGUUGUGGCACUACGCACCUGUUCUGGACUCAGAGGAUUACUGCAGUUAGAUAAUAUCAGUUAUGGUAUUGAACCAUUGGAAUCUUCACCUACAUAUAAGCAUGUAGUUUAUCGAAUUAAAAAUGAUGCUAUUGGUCAUUCCUCCUUUCAAGAAAAUUAUCCUGUGGCUCAAUAUAUAGAUCAGUCCUACAGGAUUCUUGUCAAAUCAGACAUAAAUUCAGGUGCCAUGCUAUCGAAAAGAACUCUGAAAAUACAAAUCAUUAUGGAUAAAGCCAUGUAUGCUUAUAUGGGCUCCACGGUGGCAGUUGCAGUUGAGAAAGUUUUCCAAAUCUUUGGUCUUAUCAACACUAUGUUUUCCCAGCUUAAUAUGACAGUUAUGCUGUCUUCCUUGGAGAUCUGGUCAGAUCAAAAUAAGAUUUCAACAAGUGGUCAUGCUGAUGAAAUACUACAGCGAUUUUUGCCUUGGAAACAAAAAUUUUUGUUUCAAAGGUCUCAUGAUAUGACAUACUUAUUAAUUUAUAGGAACCAUUCUACUUAUGUGGGAGCAACAUAUCACGGAAUGGCAUGCGAUCCAAAGUUUGCAACAGGAAUUGCUCUGUAUCCAAAGAAAAUCACUGCAGAGGCCUUUUCAGUUGUUAUGGCACAGUUGCUUGGAAUUAAUCUGGGAUUGACAUAUGAUGAUAUCUACAAUUGUUACUGUCCAGGAACUACAUGCAUAAUGAAUCCUGAUGCGAUAUGAUCCCAUGGUAUGAAGUUUUUUAGCAGUUGCAGCAUGGAUGGAUUUAAACGGAUAGUUCUGCAGCCUGAACUUAAAUGUUUUCAGGAUAAAACAGUUUCAAAAAUGACUUACCGAAAAUCUUCAACUUGUGGCAAUGGAAUUUUGGAACCUACAGAGCAGUGUGAUUGUGGCUAUAAAGAGGCAUGCACUCAUAAAAAAUGCUGUAAUCCUGCAGAUUGUACUCUAGUUAGAUCUGCAGAAUGUGGCACUGGAUCAUGCUGUAACAAUAAAACUUGUACGAUCCACGAAAGAGGCCAUGUCUGCAGAAAAAGUGUAGAUAUGUGUGAUUUUCCAGAAUAUUGCAAUGGAACAUCUGAGUUUUGUGUACCUGAUGUGAAAGCUGCUGAUUUAGAAUACUGCAGUAAUAAGACUAGCUAUUGCUUUAAAGGAGUAUGCAGAGAAAGGGAUAGACAGUGUUCACAGUUAUUUGGAAAAUUUGCUAAGUCUGCUAAUCUUCUGUGUACAGAAGAAGUGAAUUUUCAAAAUGACAAAUUUGGAAACUGUGGUUCCCGUUGUGAUUUUUUUGAUAUCCUUUGUGGAAAGAUUGUUUGUCACUGGAUACAUUCAGAACUAGUACCAAUGACAGACUUAGACAUACAAUAUACUUACCUUAGAGGUCACGUAUGUUUGUCCGCACAUGCAAGAAAUGGUUCAAAACAAUCGGAGACCUAUACAGAAGAUAUAACUGCAUGUGGCCAACACAAGGUAUGUCACUCCCGAGAAUGCAGAAAUUUUAGUGAACUAAAUAUAACAAAAUAUACUACAAAUUGUGGACAGAAUGGGAUUUGCAAUGAACAUUUCCAUUGUCAAUGUGAUCCUGGUUAUGCUCCUCCAGAUUGUGAGCCAGCAAUGUCAUCACCAGGAGGAAGUAUCAAUGAUGGAUUUUGGCUUACAGUAGAAAAAAGUGUACCCUUGCUUCCAAAACGACGUGCUGCUCCUAAAAACAAUGGUCUUUUGAUCAGUUUCUACAUUUUUUCACCUUUGCUCAUUUUAAUUGCUAUUGUUAGUCUUAAAUGGAAUAAAAUGAAGAGAUUUCGGAGCAAAGUGGGAACAGUAAGCAGCAGAUCUAUCUCAGAAGACAGCGGUAGUAACAGCAGCCAGUCACAGAGUUAAAGUAACCAAGUGAUAAAAUCAAAGCCAUCGGAUGAAGAAAGGAUAUUACCAAGAAACUCACCAUUAACUUAAAACUUUCAACUUCACAGAAAAAAAUAAAUCAUAUGACUAAAAGC